AGUGAACGCUGGCGGUAGGCCUAACACAUGCAAGUCGAACGGCAGCACAGUAAGAGCUUGCUCUUACGGGUGGCGAGUGGCGGACGGGUGAGGAAUACAUCGGAAUCUACUUUUUCGUGGGGGAUAACGUAGGGAAACUUACGCUAAUACCGCAUACGACCUACGGGUGAAAGCAGGGGAUCUUCGGUCCUUGCGCGAUUGAAUGAGCCGAUGUCGGAUUAGCUAGUUGGCGGGGUAAAGGCCCACCAAGGCGACGAUCCGUAGCUGGUCUGAGAGGAUGAUCAGCCACACUGGAACUGAGACACGGUCCAGACUCCUACGGGACGCAGCAGUGGGGAAUAUUGGACAAUGGGCGCAAGCCUGAUCCAGCCAUACCGCGUGGGUGAAGAAGGCCUUCGGGUUGUAAAGCCCUUUUGUUGGGAAAGAAAAGCAGCAGGUUAAUACCCCGCUGUUCUGACGGUACCCAAAGAAUAAGCACCGGCUAACUUCGUG
This 492-nucleotide ribosomal RNA is filed under the name uncultured bacterium. Its description in RNAcentral is "partial 16S ribosomal RNA". It matches the Rfam family "Bacterial small subunit ribosomal RNA", at positions 29 to 507 of the family's 1533-position model. The record is from RNAcentral.